GAUGAACGCUAGCGGCAGGCUUAACACAUGCAAGUCGAGGGGCAGCACGGGUAGCAAUACCUGGUGGCGACCGGCGCAAGGGUGCGUAACGCGUGAGCAACAUGCCCUAUACAGGGGGAUAAUCCAGGGAAACUUGGUCUAAUAUCCCAUAGUAUUUAGAGGAGGCAUCUUCUAUAAAUUAAAGCUUCGGUGGUAUAGGAUUGGCUCGCGUGACAUUAGCUAGAUGGUGAGGUAACGGCUCACCAUGGCAAUGAUGUCUAGGGGUUCUGAGAGGAAGGCCCCCCACACUGGUACUGAGACACGGUCCAGACUCCUACGGGAGGCAGCAGUAAGGAAUAUUGGGCAAUGGAGGCAACUCUGACCCAGCCAUGCCGCGUGCAGGAAGACGGCCCUACGGGUUGUAAACUGCUUUUAAAGGGAGUAAUUGUUAGUUACGAGUAACUAAUUGCAAGUACCUAUAGAAUAAGGAUCGGCUAACUCCGUGCCAGC
RNAcentral lists this ribosomal RNA (489 nucleotides) under uncultured bacterium. RNAcentral's name for it is "bacterial SSU rRNA". It matches the Rfam family "Bacterial small subunit ribosomal RNA", at positions 28 to 512 of the family's 1533-position model. The record is from RNAcentral.